RNAcentral lists this ribosomal RNA (499 nucleotides) under uncultured bacterium. Its description in RNAcentral is "partial 16S ribosomal RNA". It matches the Rfam family "Bacterial small subunit ribosomal RNA", at positions 28 to 507 of the family's 1533-position model. The record is from RNAcentral.
GACGAACGCUGGCGGCGUGCCUAAUACAUGCAAGUCGAGCGAAGUUUUUCUGGUGCUUGCACUAGAAAAACUUAGCGGCGAACGGGUGAGUAACACGUAAAGAACCUGCCUCAUAGACUGGGACAACUAUUGGAAACGAUAGCUAAUACCGGAUAACAGUAUUUCUCGCAUGAGAGAUAUUUAAAAGUUUUUUAUGCUAACACUAUGAGAUGGCUUUGCGGUUCAUUAGCUAGUUGGUGGGGUAAAGGCCCACCAAGGCGACGAUGCAUAUCCGACCUGAGAGGGUGAUCGGCCACACUGGGACUGAGACACGGCCCAGACUCCUACGGGAGGCAGCGGUAGGGAAUCUUCCGAAAUGGGCGAAAGCCUGACGGAGCAACGCCGCGUGAGUGAAGAAGGAUUUCGGUUCGUAAAACUCUGUUGUUAGGGAAGAAUGGAUAUGUAGUAACUAUACAUGUAAGAGACGGUACCUAACCAGAAAGCUACGGCUAACUACGUG